CCUGCCCCAUCUCGUCCUCUCUCUUUCCAUCCAUCCUGUCUCAUCACGGAUGGAGAACCCAUGUUUGACUGAACUGGAACACCAGGUUCAUGGUCAUUGAGCCCCUUGUCCUGAUCAUUUUCCACGCAAGGGCUACUGCCUUCCUUUGCUGUUCACCUGAGUUGGCAACUCUGCCAAGUGUGGUGUACCCAACCAUCCUGAAAUUUCACUCGGGGUUCCUUAAAGGGAAUGAAGCCGUGGAGGCACCAGCUGGCAACGGGCAUGUGAAUCACAGUUUCACAGAAGUAUUGGUGAUACACCACUUCCCUGCCAGGAUGAAAUAGGAGACCUUAAGAAACAAAACAAAUGUCCACAUUCCAUUUCAAUGAAAAAUAAAAGGUCAAUGGCUAAGCUUAACACUAGCAAAAGUAUUUCUCUACUCUGGACAACAAGUAUAUAUAAACACUGAUAACAGCAAAAAGGAAAUGGAGGCAUCGUCAAGACUCCGAGAACAGAAGGAAAAGGAGCUGUACUCAAUGCGCUGGAAGGUGCCACUAAACACGGUUGUUGCUGUUAUUGAGUCACUGAGUAUUCUCUGCGACCCCAGGGACUACAGCCU
This is a non-coding RNA of Odocoileus virginianus texanus, 598 nucleotides long. NCBI's taxonomy places the organism in Eukaryota, Metazoa, Chordata, Mammalia, Artiodactyla, Cervidae. The record is from RefSeq and is a predicted model, not a curated record.